GACGAACGCUGGCGGCGUGCUUAACACAUGCAAGUCGAACGGAAAGGCCCUGCUUUUGUGGGGUGCUCGAGUGGCGAACGGGUGAGUAACACGUGAGUAACCUGCCCUUGACUUUGGGAUAACUUCAGGAAACUGGGGCUAAUACCGGAUAAGAGCUCCUGCUGCAUGGUGGGGGUUGGAAAGUUUCGGCGGUUGGGGAUGGACUCGCGGCUUAUCAGCUUGUUGGUGGGGUAGUGGCUUACCAAGGCUUUGACGGGUAGCCGGCCUGAGAGGGUGACCGGCCACAUUGGGACUGAGAUACGGCCCAGACUCCUACGGGAGGCAGCAGUGGGGAAUAUUGCACAAUGGGCGGAAGCCUGAUGCAGCAACGCCGCGUGCGGGAUGACGGCCUUCGGGUUGUAAACCGCUUUCGCCUGUGACGAAGCGUGAGUGACGGUAAUGGGUAAAGAAGCACCGGAUAACUACGUG
RNAcentral lists this ribosomal RNA (468 nucleotides) under uncultured bacterium. Its description in RNAcentral is "partial 16S ribosomal RNA". It matches the Rfam family "Bacterial small subunit ribosomal RNA", at positions 28 to 507 of the family's 1533-position model. The record is from RNAcentral.